GGGCGCAUAGCUCAGCUGGAUAGAGUACCUGGCUACGAACCAGGCGGUCGGAGGUUCGACUCCUCCUGCGCCCACCA
This 77-nucleotide transfer RNA is filed under the name Pseudoalteromonas denitrificans DSM 6059. RNAcentral's name for it is "tRNA_Arg_ACG". It matches the Rfam family "tRNA". Rfam says of the family: Transfer RNA (tRNA) molecules are approximately 80 nucleotides in length. Their secondary structure includes four short double-helical elements and three loops (D, anti-codon, and T loops). The record is from RNAcentral. Lineage: Bacteria; Pseudomonadati; Pseudomonadota; Gammaproteobacteria; Alteromonadales; Pseudoalteromonadaceae.